This 301-nucleotide ribosomal RNA is filed under the name uncultured bacterium. Its description in RNAcentral is "partial 16S ribosomal RNA". It matches the Rfam family "Archaeal small subunit ribosomal RNA", at positions 459 to 759 of the family's 1478-position model. The record is from RNAcentral.
CAGUCGCCGCGGGAAAACCAGCAGCCCAAGUGGUGGUCGCGUUUAUUGGGCCUAAAGCGCUCGUAGCCUGACCGGUAAGUUCCCCGUGAAAUCGGGUCGCCCAACGAUUCGGCUUGCGGGGAAUACUGUCGGUCUUGGGGCCGGGAGACGCCGAGGGUACUCCGGGGGUAGCGGUGAAAUGCUGUAAUCCUCGGGGGACUACCAGUGGCGAAGGCACUCGGUGAUAACGGGCCUGACGGUGAGGGGCGAAAGCUGGGGGCGCGAACGGGAUUAGAUACCCCCGUAGUCCCUGUCUCUUAUU